UACGUAGGGGGCUAGCGUUGUCCGGAAUCAUUGGGCGGAAAGCGCGCGUAGGCGGCCCGGUAAGUCCGCUGUGAAAGUCAAAGGCUCAACCUUUGAAUGUCAGCGGAUACUGCCGGGCUAGAGUCCGGAAGAGGUGAGUGGAAUUCCCAGUGUAGCGGUGAAAUGCGUAGAUAUUGGGAGGAACACCAGUGGCGAAGGCGGCUCACUGGACCGGAACUGACGCUGAGGCGCGAAAGCGUGGGGAGCAGACAGG
Molecule: ribosomal RNA, 253 nt
Filed under: uncultured bacterium
Lineage: Bacteria
Description: partial 16S ribosomal RNA
Rfam family: Bacterial small subunit ribosomal RNA
Source: RNAcentral